This is a long non-coding RNA of Papaver somniferum (opium poppy), 505 nucleotides long. RefSeq lists it as uncharacterized. The record is from RefSeq and is a predicted model, not a curated record. Lineage: Eukaryota; Viridiplantae; Streptophyta; Magnoliopsida; Ranunculales; Papaveraceae. The transcript is spliced from 2 exons.
AUUUGAUUGGUUUUUUAAUUCGAUAUUAAGAUAUAGAUCCAUCAUCGACGACAUCAUAUACUCUUAUUGCUGUUAUUUCUGGUGGUGAUGAAGACCCAAGAAGAAGAUCUCCUCAGGAGUAGUAGCAGCAACUUUCUUUGCAGGAGCAGCAGUUUUCUUCUUCUUAGGUGCAGCAGUAGUAGUUUCAGAUUUCUUGAAGGUAGUUGGAACAACAGCAGUAGUAGUUGGGUGAGGUUGAAAUGGGUUUCCUUUGAUUCAGGGUAAACCCAAGUUUAAUGUGAAGAAAUAAAACCAUAUUCAUACCUUUUGUUGUCUUUCCUAGGUUCUUUCUCAUGAUCUCUUUAUGGGUUUUUUUCUUUUCUUUUUGUGUUUAGAGAUAAACUGGUUUAAUUGAUUUUUCAUUCUUGUGUUUUUUUUUUGGAUUGAUUUUAGAAUAAAGGGUUGGUGUGGAGGUGUAUGUGAAGAACAACAAGUUUGAAGAAGUGGGUUGUUGUUGUUUGGACAA